AAAUUUGAUGAUGGUGAUCUCAUCUCCUAUAUCCUUAAUGGAUUGGAUUCGGAUUAUAAUCCGUUUGUGUCUUCUAUGGCAGUAAAAGACACUCUGACAUUAAGCGACUUAUAUGCUUAGCUACUUGCUUAUGAAG
Panicum hallii is the source of this 136-nucleotide small nucleolar RNA. RefSeq annotates it as small nucleolar RNA Z247. Lineage: Eukaryota; Viridiplantae; Streptophyta; Magnoliopsida; Poales; Poaceae. The transcript has a single exon. The record is from RefSeq and is a predicted model, not a curated record.